CUGCUUCAGGGGCACAUAUACUAAAAUUGGAAGGAUGUUGAGACUAACAUGGCCCUUGCAGAAGGAUGACAUGAUAACCCGGAAAGUGUUCCUUGUUUUG
Molecule: small nuclear RNA, 100 nt
Filed under: Sciurus vulgaris (Eurasian red squirrel)
Lineage: Eukaryota; Metazoa; Chordata; Mammalia; Rodentia; Sciuridae
Source: RNAcentral